Anas platyrhynchos (mallard) is the source of this 9056-nucleotide non-coding RNA. The record is from RefSeq and is a predicted model, not a curated record. Lineage: Eukaryota; Metazoa; Chordata; Aves; Anseriformes; Anatidae.
UAAUAGCGUUGGGACUGAGUUCAGUCUGAUCCUAAAUAGCUUAAUAACAGAGCCAGAGCCUACAAACCGCCUGCAGACUGUGGCCAUUCCUGCACGGAGAGGUUCAGAGCUGGGAGUCUGCCUGGAGCUGAGCCACUGGCACAAGGGCAGAGCAUAAAGACCACGGCAAAAUAAGCUAACUUAUUCAUUGUAUUGUUUAUUCUUAAUCACAUUCAAUUUUGAAUUAACCUAAGGUAUUUUGAGUGGUCUGGAGAAGUGUGUUUUGGUUCCCUUCAGAAGGAGCUAAAGGUUUUAGACCCUGCUCUUGUUAUAUUUAAGGUUCAACUUAUGAAAUAUUAUAAUGUAUAUAUAUAUAUUAUAGUGUAUAUUAUAACAUGUAUAUAAUAUAUAAUAUUAGAUAUUAUCCCUAUGGCAGGGAGGUUGGAGCUAGGUGAUAUUUAAAGGUCUCUUCCAACCCAAACUGUUGUAUGAUUUUCUGAUUCUGUAUUGCAAGAACAUAUUUCAUCAAUUUAAGUGAAACAUUUUCCAUUUGAGAACAUUGGAUCAAAAUGAUUCGGCAUUCCUCCCUCCUUAUUUUUUCUCUGGGAACUGUUGACAGAAUUGAUUUCAUUUCACGUUUCUUCUGCAUCUCCCAGGACUGUGCUGUCCCCAGGGCUCCCCCUUCCCUGUAGGGUUCGCCUUGCCCUGACCACAGCACUCAGCUCCAGGUUGCAAACUGAAAAAACCCUUUCCGACAGCAACCCUCUGCUGUACCCAUGCAGGAAAGGCUUCAACAGAAAUAAAACACUGCAAAUUUUCACAGAGGUGAAGCUAGCAACUUUUGCUAUUUUUGCAGUUGGUUCAUUUUUUUUUGUUGUUGUUCUCCUUUUGUUUCUUUUGCAUAUUUUGUUCUAAUAUCAAAUCUUUCAAGUGCUUGCUUUCCCACCACCCAGGUUUGCCUCAAUAUGUAAAACAACUCCAGUGGCUGCCUGGCACAUCCUUGCCUGUUUUUAGGAAAGACUCCUGUUCCCUGGGACCCAGAUGUGCCUGGACACAAUCUCUCUCCUUUGCUUUAAUAUUCCAGGUGUCAGUCCAUCCUGGGAGCCGCAUCCUGACUCCACUUCCUUGGUGCUGCCAACUCCACUGAUCCUCCGCAAGCUGAGUAUGGAAAGUGUUUGCAAAUGUGGGCACAAAGCAAGGCUUUGGAUGCUGAGGAAGCAAGUGCUAAUGAUCGUGCUUUAGAUUAAUUACAACCUACAAGGACUGCAGGGGUGGGAAUUCAUUAGUUUUUUUGUUGGUGUAGGUUUUUGUGUCUCUUCUAGUGUUGGCAAGGAUCAUGCUUUCUGCUGUCUUUCAGGUAUCCUGACCUGGAAACAUUCCUCAGGGUUUGCUUUUUAUUUUAUUUUUAUUUAUUUAUUUUGUUUGUUUGUUUGUUUGAAUUUCCUAAAUGUACCCAAGAAACAACUAAAAUGAAAGCGAAUGUGUGCAAUUCUGAAAGAGCUUCAGUGCAAGAGACUGACACCUCACAUCACUGCAGCUAAGGAGAAAUAUCCCCAGCCCCAAAGGGUGACCUGCUGCCACCCAUCCCUGGAAGAGAAACCCAGGGAUGUCUUUUGUGGGGUUGUGCAUCCACAGGCUCUGUUCUCCCUACACUCAUGAGGGAUUUCUGGCAAAAAUGUCUGGCAAAACUGAUUUCUAGAGGAGCAGGCUAUAGGAGGCCCCCAGGGCUGUCUGCACACCCAGAAGACGGCGGUACAGCAUCCCUGAGGAGCAGCUCCUGCAGUCUCUCUGCCUCAGCUGGCCAACCUCACUGCUUCCCGCAACCAGCCUAACCAAAUCCUGCAGCCCCCUUGCAGAGCAAGAAGACCCUUACCAGAUACAUCACUACUCUUCACGUCACGAAUACUGCAGAUUUUUCAGCUUUGUCAGGACCAAAGUUUUCUACAGGAAAACUUUUAGGAGGAAGUCCAGUGUUAUUGCCACCAGAACAUUGCUGAUAAGUAACAGCAAGUGCCAGCAUCACGCAGGGAGCGGCACUGAAAAAUUCAUGGGCUGGCUGCGAACGCUGCAAUGUCUGGGGACGCCUCAGCAGAGGAUCUGCUGCUUGGCACACCUGUAAGGUGAGCACAGCUAACAGCCCCUCUUUUCCUGCUGAGUAUUUAGGACUUAGAAACUUCAGAUUUCUAUGGGAGAGAUUUUAAGACGUGUAUGCUGGAUGUUUGUGUUUACUUUCCUGACAGCUAAGUGGAGUUGUUUAAAAUUCUAUAUGCUUCAGUCCAUUCAUCAGCAUGGGCUAUAAAAUCCCUGCACAAAAACCUAAACCACCGUUUUGGGCCAGCUUUCAGGGUAGGGUCAUUUCUAGGCUAGGCAACAAUGGAAAGGGAAGCGGCAGGGUGGAAACAAAAGGACUGAAGAAAGAUGAACAAGUGCUAGAAGAGAGAAGAACGUGCUGUAUAAACCAAGGGGGAAAACCUGGUAGGAGCUCCUGAAAGGGGUUAUGCUGUUACAUGGAGAGGAGCUGGGUUAUCCUGUCAUGUGGAGAGGAUGUAUUUGAAGAAGUGAUCAGGUACAGGACAGUGCUGUAGACAGCAGGGUUGCCCCAAAGCCGGGGGGAGAUGUGGGGGCACGUCAGCAGGAGCGGUACAAGGCAGAGAUGCUCGGGCUGGGGGGGCAGAGGCUGGUGUCAGGGAAGGGUGCAAACCUCAUGGCACACUGGGAGGAUGUGGGGAUCCCCAGGGCUGGGUGCAUGUUGAGGAGCAAACUGCCAAAAAAAGGCCAUCUGGAGCAUCAGCGGCACGGCCUCUCCCGGGUGCCAUCUUCCCGGGUGCCACGCACUGUGAGCGGCACUGCUACCUGGGGAGGAACGGCCAGAUGCUACAGCUGAUGCUUUCUCAUUUUACUUUUGAUGGCCGUGGCGUUCCCAAUUUAGUGAAUUGCUUUCUAACGAUUCCCCUGGUGACCGGUGGCAAAACUCCCGCUGACUGCAAGAGGGACAGGGCUGGGCAUUUAAUAACAGCAUUGCUUUUGUGUGCGCUGCAAAGCCCCCAGGAGCCCGAGCGACAGGCCCAGGGCUCAUUAGGAUGGUGCAAAGAUAAAGCAAAAAGACAGUCCCUGCCCGGGAAGCUUGUGCCUGUAUCGAUCUGCAACAGUGAGAAAAGUACAUCUCCUACCAAACCUGGCAACGGCGCUGCACGCGUCCUUUACCAAGGGGGCAUGUUCUGACCGCAGCUAAACCCAGCUCCGUCAGACGCGUUAUUAUUCACAGAGUGUUUUGCAAUAAUUGGCACAUCCAAGUAACGAGGAUGUGAGGUCACUGAUCAAAGCCCGCUGAGGGCCAAGAGCCCAUUCUGCUGCCCUGGGCGUACCCCUGCAUGCAGUCAGAGGUAACGGUGCUCUGACUUCUGGGUCAGUUUUCAGAGUCAAUUAUUAGACAAAGAUUCGAUGUCAGGCUUUGUUUGUGCUCCCCGACAGGGAGGCGCCCCAAAUCACUGUCUAUUGGUGUCCUGGAAAAAGGCUGCAUAGGCUUAAAAUCUGCUGUGGCCACUCCUUCUGGUUGUUGUUUUCUGUAUUUUAUCUUCAGGCUGUUUAUACUGAUUUUAGUUAAAUUAAAGGGCUUUCCUAAAAUGCUUCACUGAUAUUGUCAGAAGGGACUUCCCAGACAUGCCAAAUACACUGGGUGGGUUGUAUUACAUCUAGCAAAAUGCUCCAGAGAUAUUUUUUCUGUAUUAGGUAAUUAAUGUGAAGAGAAACAAAACAUACAGCGUUCUCUUGGGUACAAUGGGGACUUUUAGCUCUGAAAUUUGAAAGGAGGCCCAUAGGUACCCUGUAGAAUUUACAUAUUUCUCCCAAUACUGGUAAUAAAAUGACAGCACAUCAGAAAACAUUAAGGGAAUCUGGUUUUUGCUCUCUCCCCUGCUUUUUUUUUUCCCCUUGUUUACCGUCCUGUCUGUUUGCAUCGGCUGCCGCUCAGCGCUCUGCGCUGUGACACCUCUGGGGAAGCGCCGCAGCGGGCUCUGCCGCUCAGCCCGCAGGGCUGCGGGCACUGGCCCUCCUCCCGCUUUCCUUCUCCUCCGAAAGCAGGAGGUAGGCGGCUGAGGGAGCUGAGCAGGAGGAGUUAAAGCUUCUUUGCACGUGUUUGUAGUCACCGUGGCUCCCGUUCCUUUGAUUUUGCAGGGAGCAGCCUGAAAAGAGCAAAAUCCAGACUCCUGCUCCUACCCACGCUCUGGAAGCCUCCUAGAAUCAGGCAUUUUUUUCACUGAUUUCAGUAGGGUUUUGAACUGGGGCUCAGUUCUGCUAACUCCAUCUCUUUACACUUAUCUGGAGUCUAGGUUAGCUCAGUAUCUGUGGAGCAGGCUGAGAGCCCGCAUGCUGCCCUGUGAGUAGCACAAGAUGCACACACGGGUUGGUGCCUUCAUCUGAGCAAGGGCUGCCUGAACAGGAACCAAAGUUUUCCCUUUCACCUCCCUUAGGUGAACAGGAAGGGUUGCCCCCAUCAUGGCCCUGCCAAAGUCUGGUGGCUAAAAAUCCUGGUGGCUGAUACAGGGACAGCAGGUUGCAAAAGUGUUGUAGAGGGCAAAAAUGGUAAGGAGAGCAUCAUGUCUCCUGUAAAUGGGAUGUGAAUACCUCUGUGUCUCAGUUAGACAAUGAUUUCGUCCUUAUUACACAUACAUAUGACCUCAUUUAUUUUUGAUUUAGGUACAUAACCUUUCAGCAAUCUCUAAAACAACUGUAUUCAUUUUAAUUGAAGCAGUAGUUUGCUUCCUAGAAGUGAAAGCAGGGGAAUCCUAUCUGUGCAGAAUAUAGAGGGUGAGCUCUCCUCCGAGGGUGGAGUGCCUGGAUCCUGAUUUUGCAGAAGACAUAAAGGGUUGGGCCAACUGGCUUUUAAAGCUUGCACAUAGCCACUUUUGAAAACAGCUUUUAGGAUCAUCAGUCACAAGUACACUUACAAACAAUUUACCCAUCUCUUGUCUUACUGAGCAGCUGUAGACUGUUUUUCCCAGUUCUAUCUUUUCUCUAAAUAAAGAAGGCAUAAUACACUUUUAUCAAGAUGCUACUUAAUUCAUCUUUCCUUUGCAGUCCCUUUUACUAAUGAUGUUUCUUUCCUAAAGCUGACUUGGCAUCAAUUUCACAUUAGUUCCAAGGCUUUACAUGAAGGAUAAAUGCAGCCGUGCUCAUAUUCUGCUAGUCUGCCAUCGCCCAAGCACUGAAAUCAUGUCACCCAAGCACUACAGCUGAUCUAAAUUGACAAGAGUAAAGAUGAAAAAAGAUCCAGGUUUUCUGUGCCCUGCUUAUCCUGCAAGGAUACUGAGUUUGUAAAGCUGCUUUUUGUUCCUGGCAUGACUGUCACUCUGGGUCCCUGCUCCAGGGCUGGGAAUCCACGGCGAGGCUGGGCACCGGUACGGUGCUGGUCCCCACUGAGGUGCUGCUGUCCCUUAUCAGAGCUGCUGGGCGUUGAACUGUCUGACGCCUCUUCAAUUACUCUCGAGGCUUGGAAAACAAGUCCAUAAAUCUCUUCCUGCGGCAAUUUAAACCCCUAUGUCCCCUCAAGGUUGGUUCAUUUCCUAACGGCAUAUUUGCUUAGUUAACUGGGCGCCUGUGCAGCAAGUCAGGCCAUGAGCGUGCACUCCUGAGACCUGAUGGGGCAACACCGGAAUCAGAUGGAUAAAUCCCACACUUGGCUGAACAAAAUGAAGUUCAGCACUUUGUCCAUCUGCAUAAAGGUUUGCAUCAGUAUUUUGUCUUACUUUCUAUCACGAUCGUACCUCGCCGCAGCUGGUCUCAGCUGCAAGCUGAUGGCUGAGUCUGCUGCUGCAGUGAGCUGCAUGGGGAGGUCUCCCCAGAGAGCUUCCUGCAGGAGAGAAGCCCUGAGGUGUGAUUCUGCCUUGGUGCUUUCAUUAUUCAUUAACCAGUGCUUUCGUGCUCAGGAGCAUACAUCACCCAGGAUGAGUUAUCCUCUGCACAGGAGUUUCAGUGCUUACAGCUCUAGCUGGCAGAAGGAUUUAAAAACCAUCAGUUAAUACUGCUUUAACAGAAGCACAGCUGCAGUCUGUAGGAUAUAACUGUGGAUUUAUUUCACUACCUAUUACCAAUGAUUACAAAGAUCUCAAAAGAAUUACUAAUCCGCAGGAUUUCAAUUGCACCCUGUGAGUGUCAACUGCAGGUUUGCUACUACAGCGCAUUUAAUUCUUCCAGCAAAUGAUGUAGCUACUCUAAUUGUGGGAACGGCUCAGGCUUUCCCCGCACAGCUUUUCAAAGGCUGUGAACAACACGUAAGUGGCUCACGUUGGGUGUGGAAGUGACACGCUGGUGCUGCCCGCGAGGCGGCUGAGAGCCUGCCAGCCGGGCGCUGCUCCUGCCGCUUGCCUCCCGUGCGUCCCUCUGCCAUCGGCUGCUUUCUGCUCCUUGCAGAUCUCCAGCAAGGCAAUCCGAAAUUCAGAUUUUAAAUAUCCCACCGCUUGUUUUUAUGGAAGCUCACACAAUGAAAUUAAAUUCUUCCCAGUGUAAUAGGGCCCCUGAGACUGGAUGGUCAUUUCUUUGAGCCUCUUCACUAUGGUGGGCUAAUUUAGAGGAAAUACAUUCAGAAUAUGACUUUUUCUCUCCUAUUCAACAAAUAAAUCAAUUAAAUCAUCUUCUCACCCUAAUUUCCUACAGAAACAGGCCUUUCAAUGACUCUGCUUUUGUGGAUAUAGACUGGUCUGUCUUUCUGUCUGUAUGCACUUCUUCAAUAACUUUGAAUUUAGUUAAUUUUUCCAGAGCUGAUAGAAAAGCAGAGGUUUCACAGGUAACAGAGCUCCCACAGCUUCCAUGCGAGCAGGUGGGAGCUCUCUGCAACUGCUUCUGCUUGUUGUCAGACACCAGAGCUCAGGCAGGGAUGACAGCCCAUAUAAAUGUCCUGCUUCCAGAAACUCAAUUAAGAGACAAGAAGACUGAAACGUUCCCCAAGCAUCUUGUGUCAGAGUACUGAUGGAUUGAUGGGGGGGCUGGCCUCUGUAAAAUGGCCUUAUAUUAUUAAACUUCUGAAUGAAAUGGGCCCCUUAGCAGAGCUUCUCUUACAAUGAGUCCAUGAAGCCAUCCCUUCUGCUGCAGGGCAGGAUGGGUUGUGUUAGUGUCUGGGCUUCUCCAGUGUUGAGGCUGGAGACCUUUAUUUCCUGCUCCUUUAUACCCACAGUCCUUCACAUAGAAGAGUAUCACCAAGUCUGGUAGAGGUGGAAAAAGAUAAUCAGUCCCAAACAGAAAAUUGUAAUGGUGCUUGAGAGUUCUUUCCCACUUCCAGUUUUUAGGGAUUUGGUGAUUGGUUGUUCUGGCCAACAUUGUCAUAAAAAGCACAAAUGGCUGUGAAAUUUGGACAUGUAUCAAAGCCUGGGAAUCCAAAAUAUUCUUCCCAAUAGUUUUGCUGUUGUUAAGAUCAUGGAUCAGGGUUCUCUUCAGUGCCUACAAUACUUAAUAACUAAUACCAGCCACAGACUGGGUAAUUUUUUCCCAUAAACUUAAUAGGUGUCAUAUCUCAGUGACAGCUUAUUAAAUUCUUGGUGAGGAUUGAAGUUGCUAUCAAGAACUCUUGUAGUCCACAGUGUAUUGAGGGGUCUUUAAAUCCCCAAAGUACCAGAAACAAAGUUUUGCUAGGAAAUGUAACAGUACUUUUUUUUUUUUAUUUAUAACAAUGGACUUUGAAACUCAGAUUUGGGAAAAAUUAAAAGUAGCUGGGCUGGAAGCUGUUGAAGCAGUGGUCAGCUUUAAAAGCAAAAUCUUACUUGUACUUAAAUACAGAAGUAGCACACCUCUCCCCAAGUAUUGGUGGAAUACCCAGCUCCAUGCCCUGUCAUGUAAAACAAUGCAAAAGAAAAAAGGAAAUGCUUGUAUUAAAUUCACUAACAACCACUCUACAGUAUCCACACAAGGUCAGAACUCCUUGAAGCUCUUCUCAAAGACUUCAUGGAGGAUGCCUUGAAAAAAUACAUAGACAAAUGUGGCGACUGGUCCUCACUCAGUAAAGGCACCCACAGGCUAUUUUCCACACCAGGAUGUGAUGUGGAAGGGUGAUUUUUUUCUUUGCCUGAGAACGGGGAUACAGUCCCUUAAAUCCUUUGGAGGGGAAGAUGGAAUAUUUAACUUGUACUUCUGUAUCCACUAGAGAGAGAUAAAUAAACUGCAAUCACUGCCUAACAGGUACUAAAAUAUUGAGAAGCACUUCUGGAUACCUCUUGAGAGUAAGAUAUAACAUCCCACCGAGAUGCUGUAAGUAUUAUGCCUUUCUUUGAAUGAUUACUGAUAUGUUUAAAUGAUGCUUUUAGAAAUACAAAUAUUAUAAUGCAUUUUUCUCCUUAUAAUAAUAACUUCAUUCUGCAUUCAGAGCCAGGACUUCAGGAUCUGGGUUAAUGAUAAGGAAGAGGCAAAUUUUCUGAAGUGUUGCUGAUGCUGUAAGAUUUUUUUUUCCCACUGGUUGCAGCAUACUUAGUUGGCAUUUAAAAACUGCAAAUUGUUUCUGACUCGGCUUUGCUCUGUGUUCAAGGGCUUCUUCUACAAAGGUUAACACUUCUCAACCUCACUAAGUGUUCAGAUACCUAUAAUCAGAAUGUGACGUACUCAGAUAAUAUGAUAAGGGGGGGAACUGUAGUGCCUAAUCAAGAUUAAGCUUUGUUUGGGGGUUUGGGAUCUCAAGUACACAGAGUUUUCAACAGUAAAUCAAAGCAGUGAUCACAAUUUAUGCUGACAUGCCACCUUUUCCUUGAUCUUUCCCAAAUAAUCCCUCAGUAAUGCUGCCUGUAUUGUUGCAGAAGUGUUAGAUGGGGUUAUACAUUUUGAUCACUGAGAGCAAUCCUUAAUGCUGGAGGAUGCAAGCUUGACUAAACUUUUUUUUUCCUAAUGUUGGAUGCAUUACAUGAUCUCAUCAUUGCUGGUCAUACUAUCAGCCAUUUCUUCCAAACAUCCAUUUCCCGUGGUUAGUAUUUGUCAGUGACAACAUUCCCCGAUGCCCUGGAAGUGUUUGCACAAAUCAGCACUGGAAGAUAGAGUGCUUAAAUGUCUGAAGAUAUUUGUCAAGGCUGUACUUUUAUUCCCCACCCCCCCAAUCCUGAAAA